Molecule: non-coding RNA, 182 nt
Organism: Podarcis lilfordi (Lilford's wall lizard)
Lineage: Eukaryota; Metazoa; Chordata; Lepidosauria; Squamata; Lacertidae
Source: the annotation of a GenBank genome assembly
ACUUCCUGGUGUUUAGUCGGAAUCUUCUUUCUUGUAACUCGAAGUCACUGGUUCAAGUCCUACCCUCUAGAACAGGAGAAAACAAGUUUGCUUUGCGACAGCUCUUAAGUUAUUUGAAGAUGGCGAUCAUAUCUCCUCUCAAGUCUCCUUUUUUCCAGGCUAAACAUACCCAGCUCCCUCAA